This 74-nucleotide transfer RNA is filed under the name archaeon CG10_big_fil_rev_8_21_14_0_10_43_11. RNAcentral's name for it is "tRNA-Arg". It matches the Rfam family "tRNA". From Rfam's summary of the family: Transfer RNA (tRNA) molecules are approximately 80 nucleotides in length. The record is from RNAcentral.
GCUCCCGUAGUAUAGCAUGGAUAGUAUGCGGGCUUGCGGAGCCUGUGACCGGGGUUCAAAUCCCCGCGGGGGCA